Molecule: unclassified non-coding RNA, 402 nt
Filed under: soil metagenome
Description: partial contains 5.8S ribosomal RNA, internal transcribed spacer 2, and large subunit ribosomal RNA
Rfam family: 5.8S ribosomal RNA (bases 1-121)
Source: RNAcentral
GAUGAAGAACGCAGUGAAAUGCGAUAAGUAAUGUGAAUUGCAGAAUUCAGUGAAUCAUCGAAUCUUUGAACGCACCUUGCGCCCUUUGGCUAUUCCGAAGGGCAUGCCUGUUUGAGUAUCAUGAACACCUCAACUCUCAUGGUUUGCCAUGAUGAGCUUGGACUCUGGGGGUCUUGCUGGCCUAUGGUCAGCUCCUCUCAAAUAAAUCAGCUUGCCAGUGUUUGGUGGCAUCACAGGUGUGAUAACUAUCUACGCUUGUGGUUUUCCAUCAGGUAACCUUCAGUGAUGGAGGUUCGCUGGAGCUCAUAAAUGUCCCUCCUCAGCGAGGACAGCUUUUUGAACGUUUGAUCUCAAAUCAAGUAGGACUACCCGCUGAACUUAAGCAUAUCAAUAAGCGGAGGA